This 442-nucleotide ribosomal RNA is filed under the name uncultured bacterium. RNAcentral describes it as "partial 16S ribosomal RNA". It matches the Rfam family "Bacterial small subunit ribosomal RNA", at positions 338 to 795 of the family's 1533-position model. The record is from RNAcentral.
CCUACGGGUGACAGCAGUGGGGAAUAUUGGGCAAUGGGCGCAAGCCUGACCCAGCAACGCCGCGUGAAGGAAGAAGGCUUUCGGGUGGUAAACUUCGAUUAAGAGGGAAGAGCAGAAGACGGGACCACUGGAAUAAGCCACGGCUAACGACGGGCCAGCAGCCGCGGUAAGACGGAGGUGGCAAGCGUUGUCCGGAUUUACUGGGUGUAAAGGGCGUGCAGCCGGGAAGACAAGUCAGAGGUGAAAUCCCGCGGCUCAACCGCGGAACUGCAUUUGAAACUGUUUUUCUUGAGUACCGGAGAGGUCAUCGUAAUUCCUUGUGUAGCGGUUAACUGCGUAGAUAUUAGGUAGAACCCCAGUGGCGAAGGCGGCUGACUGGACUGCAACUGCCGGUGUGGCGCGAAAGCGUGGGGAGCAAACAGGAUUAGAUACCCUAGUCGUC